AAACGACUCUCGGCAACGGAUAUCUCGGCUCUCGCAUCGAUGAAGAACGUAGCGAAAUGCGAUACUUGGUGUGAAUUGCAGAAUCCCGUGAACCAUCGAGUCUUUGAACGCAAGUUGCGCCUGACGCCUUCUGGCUGAGGGCACGUCUGCCUGGGUGUCACGC
Molecule: ribosomal RNA, 163 nt
Filed under: Senega mexicana
Lineage: Eukaryota; Viridiplantae; Streptophyta; Magnoliopsida; Fabales; Polygalaceae
Also listed under: 1 other name
Description: Polygala scoparia 5.8S ribosomal RNA
Rfam family: 5.8S ribosomal RNA
About the family: 5.8S ribosomal RNA (5.8S rRNA) is a component of the large subunit of the eukaryotic ribosome. It is transcribed by RNA polymerase I as part of the 45S precursor that also contains 18S and 28S rRNA.
Source: RNAcentral